RNAcentral lists this ribosomal RNA (428 nucleotides) under uncultured bacterium. Its description in RNAcentral is "bacterial SSU rRNA". It matches the Rfam family "Bacterial small subunit ribosomal RNA", at positions 354 to 774 of the family's 1533-position model. The record is from RNAcentral.
GUGGGGAAUAUUGGACAAUGGGGGCAACCCUGAUCCAGCAAUGCCGCGUGUGUGAAGAAGGCCUUCGGGUUGUAAAGCACUUUUAUCGGGAACGAAACAUUGUCGGCCAAUACCCGGCAAGACUGACGGUACCCGAGGAAUAAGCACCGGCUAACUCCGUGCCAGCAGCCGCGGUAAUACGGAGGGUGCAAGCGUUAAUCGGAAUUACUGGGCGUAAAGCGUGCGCAGGCGGUUUGUUAAGUCUGCUGUGAAAUCCCCGAGCUCAACUUGGGAAUUGCAGUGGAUACUGGCAAGCGGGAGUACGGUAGAGGAAGGUGGAAUUCCCGGUGUAGCAGUGAAAUGCGUAGAGAUCGGGAGGAACACCAGUGGCGAAGGCGGCCUUCUGGACCAGUACUGACGCUCAUGCACGAAAGCGUGGGGAGCAAACA